GGUGAGUAACGCGUGGGAACGUACCUUUUGGUUCGGAACAACACAGGGAAACUUGUGCUAAUACCGGAUAAGCCCUUACGGGGAAAGAUUUAUCGCCGAAAGAUCGGCCCGCGUCUGAUUAGCUAGUUGGUGAGGUAAUGGCUCACCAAGGCGACGAUCAGUAGCUGGUCUGAGAGGAUGAUCAGCCACAUUGGGACUGAGACACGGCCCAAACUCCUACGGGAGGCAGCAGUGGGGAAUAUUGGACAAUGGGGGCAACCCUGAUCCAGCCAUGCCGCGUGAGUGAUGAAGGCCCUAGGGUUGUAAAGCUCUUUUGUGCGGGAAGAUAAUGACGGUACCGCAAGAAUAAGCCCCGGCUAACUUCGUGCCAGCAGCCGCGGUAAUACGAAGGGGGCUAGCGUUGCUCGGAAUCACUGGGCGUAAAGGGUGCGUAGGCGGGUCUUUAAGUCAGGGGUGAAAUCCUGGAGCUCAACUCCAGAACUGCCUUUGAUACUGAAGAUCUUGAGUUCGGGAGAGGUGAGUG
Molecule: ribosomal RNA, 523 nt
Filed under: Bradyrhizobium sp. ERR 298
Lineage: Bacteria; Pseudomonadati; Pseudomonadota; Alphaproteobacteria; Hyphomicrobiales; Nitrobacteraceae
Also listed under: 1 other name
Description: bacterial SSU rRNA
Rfam family: Bacterial small subunit ribosomal RNA
Source: RNAcentral